RNAcentral lists this ribosomal RNA (1439 nucleotides) under uncultured organism. RNAcentral describes it as "SSU rRNA". It matches the Rfam family "Bacterial small subunit ribosomal RNA". The record is from RNAcentral.
AGGAUGAACGCUAGCGACAGGCUUAACACAUGCAAGUCGAGGGGCAGCACAGGUAGCAAUACCGGGUGGCGACCGGCGCACGGGUGAGUAACGCGUAUGCAACUUACCUAUCAGAGGGGGAUAACCCGGCGAAAGUCGGACUAAUACCGCAUGAAGCAGGGGCCCCGCAUGGGGAUAUUUGCUAAAGAUUUAUCGCUGAUAGAUAGGCAUGCGUUCCAUUAGGCAGUUGGCGGGGUAACGGCCCACCAAACCGACGAUGGAUAGGGGUUCUGAGAGGAAGGUCCCCCACAUUGGUACUGAGACACGGACCAAACUCCUACGGGAGGCAGCAGUGAGGAAUAUUGGUCAAUGGGCGCGAGCCUGAACCAGCCAAGUCGCGUGAGGGAUGAAGGUUCUAUGGAUCGUAAACCUCUUUUAUAAGGGAAUAAAGUGCGGGACGUGUCCCGUUUUGUAUGUACCUUAUGAAUAAGGAUCGGCUAACUCCGUGCCAGCAGCCGCGGUAAUACGGAGGAUCCGAGCGUUAUCCGGAUUUAUUGGGUUUAAAGGGUGCGUAGGCGGCCUUUUAAGUCAGCGGUGAAAGUCUGUGGCUCAACCAUAGAAUUGCCGUUGAAACUGGGGGGCUUGAGUAUGUUUGAGGCAGGCGGAAUGCGUGGUGUAGCGGUGAAAUGCUUAGAUAUCACGCAGAACCCCGAUUGCGAAGGCAGCCUGCCAAGCCAUGACUGACGCUGAUGCACGAAAGCGUGGGGAUCAAACAGGAUUAGAUACCCUGGUAGUCCACGCAGUAAACGAUGAUCACUAGCUGUUUGCGAUACAGUGUAAGCGGCACAGCGAAAGCGUUAAGUGAUCCACCUGGGGAGUACGCCGGCAACGGUGAAACUCAAAGGAAUUGACGGGGGCCCGCACAAGCGGAGGAACAUGUGGUUUAAUUCGAUGAUACGCGAGGAACCUUACCCGGGUUUGAACGCAUUCGGACCGAGGUGGAAACACCUUUUCUAGCAAUAGCCGUUUGCGAGGUGCUGCAUGGUUGUCGUCAGCUCGUGCCGUGAGGUGUCGGCUUAAGUGCCAUAACGAGCGCAACCCUUGCCACUAGUUACUAACAGGUAAAGCUGAGGACUCUGGUGGGACUGCCAGCGUAAGCUGCGAGGAAGGCGGGGAUGACGUCAAAUCAGCACGGCCCUUACAUCCGGGGCGACACACGUGUUACAAUGGCGUGGACAAAGGGAUGCCACCUGGCGACAGGGAGCGAAUCCCCAAACCACGUCUCAGUUCGGAUCGGAGUCUGCAACCCGACUCCGUGAAGCUGGAUUCGCUAGUAAUCGCGCAUCAGCCAUGGCGCGGUGAAUACGUUCCCGGGCCUUGUACACACCGCCCGUCAAGCCAUGGGAGCCGGGGGUACCUGAAGUCCGUAACCGCGAGGAUCGGCCUAGGGUAAAACUGGU